AAAUUAAACUGUCAAUUGUUCUUGAACAAUUGAGAGGUCUUUCCUUUUUCAAUGUAAAAUACAUGUUCCAACAGACGUAGAAUGUAUUGAAAAGGUCAAGGUCAACCUUAAAAAGCUCGAAAACACACUAAAAAUCCUUUAAAUAAGGUUAAAAACACUAAAUUCGCUAUCUGGGACAUGACCUUGACCUUUGACCUUUUGACCUUUGUCAAGGUCAUUGGUCCCCAAUGCCAUUACUGAAGACCCCAAGGGUCUAGGACCUUUGGUUAUAUAGUAAAAGCUGAUUUUGUCUUUUCAAAAACCUAAAACAGGGGUUAUGCCCCUUAUAGAAAGGUCAAAUCUCUUUGAUCAAAAUGUAACAAAGUUGCGCCAUAAUGACCCAAACAUUUUCCAC
This 394-nucleotide long non-coding RNA is filed under the name Mytilus galloprovincialis (Mediterranean mussel). Lineage: Eukaryota; Metazoa; Mollusca; Bivalvia; Mytilida; Mytilidae. The record is from RNAcentral.